GGCAUGGGUCAUAUGGUGAAUUCUGCAGAAGAGUUUCACAAUAAAGUCAGCAAAUAUCAAUCAGCAUUUAGCAUCAGAUUUGUCCAUGAGCCAGCAAAUAGGAUCAGAAUGGCCCAUCAAAUGCUAGACGAUAAUGUUGAUAACCGAUAUCAAAAUUUAAUUGCAGAAAUGCACUAAGGUCAUGUUUAGUAUAGCGUAAUCAAAAUUAUAAUAUAAUCGUGAUUACAUUGCAUAUUUAAUUACGUUGUUUGAUAACACAAUAUAAUUUGACACAAUGGAAUUUCAAUUGUAUAACGUAAUUAAUUAUGUUUAAAACAACAUAAUAAUCAUUACAUAUAAAAAUUGAUGUAAUCAUGAUUACUUAUUUUGAUUUUUUUUAUUUAUUGUCAAUAUUAUCACCAUCGCCACUAGGCCACCAUUGCUACUACUACUGCUACUUCUAUUUUGUCACCACUACUACCGCCACCGCCACCGCCACCGUC
Molecule: unclassified non-coding RNA, 482 nt
Filed under: Hevea brasiliensis (rubber tree)
Lineage: Eukaryota; Viridiplantae; Streptophyta; Magnoliopsida; Malpighiales; Euphorbiaceae
Source: RNAcentral